AUUUUCCUCAAAAGCCUAAUAGUUUUCUCCUCUCUUAAGAGCACAUUCAUUCUCUCAUUUAUCCUUCACUCAAUUUCACGAAUGAGACUUAAUCUCCUUUCAAGGCUAGUUGUUAUUCUAUUUUCUUGAGCCUGUAAUUCUAUUUUUGAACGGUGAGUUCUCUUUCUUUCUUCCUUCCCUAUGUUGACCCAUAAUGGGUACAUGUGCAAAUUCUCAAUGGUGUUGUUUUGGGUUAUGUUCUCAUGGAUUUUGUGAGGUGUUGAUGGGAGACCUCUUUGUUGAGCUCAAGUCAUCCCCUUUCUAUUCUCUUCUAAGAAAUCUAAGCUUGGGGAUCCAUAGCUUAAGUUGUGAGAGUACAAUGACCUUUGUCAGCACUUAAGCUUGAGUCAUGGAUUUGUGCAGCCUAAGUCGUGACGAUAAGCGAGUUAAGUUUUAAAAUGCUUCUAAAUGAGCCUCCAAAUGGAAUCCAAAUGCAAUUAACCUUACUUCGAGAGCUUUUAUGAAAUGAGCAAAGUGGAUUAUAAGUUAAGAUCAUAUAAUUUAUAUUUAUAUUUAUAUGAAUUUUUUUGUUUCAUGGUAAGAAUUCAUAAUGUUAAAUGUCUUAUUAUGCUUGUUCAACUAAUGUUUGAUGAAUUUAUAAUAUGGUGAGUACUUGAGAUGUUAAAAUUGACGAUCAUUGAAGUGAAACAUUUAUAUUAUGCUAAGAUAAGUUCAUUGUUGUUGAAGUGAAAAAUGUUUAAUGAGGUGAGUGUGUUAUUGUUGAUAAUAGAAUAUGAAGUUGUGGUUGAAUUUUUUAUUUUGGAACCUAUCUAAAAGCAUUUAAGUGAGUCAAUUAUGUCUUCAUAUGGAUUGAGAAAUGGCUACUUGGUGAAUGUGAGAUUCAUCAUUUAUGGAUCUCUAAUCCACUAAGAGACCCAAGAGUUUUGCUUAGUAAAUAUCUUCUCAAGUACUCGCCCAAAGUUUUGAACUUUGAUGGUUUUUCGAAGUGGUGAAAAAUGUUUCAUAAACAUUAAGUUGACUUAUUUAAAUGUGGUGAAAUAUGCGGAUGAGAGUUUAAUUAUAUGGUGAACUGUGUGGGUGAUGUUUGUUUAGUCUCAUGGUGAACUAUGCAGGUGAUAAUUGGAAUGUGUGAUGAACUAUGAGAGUAAUGAUUUAAUUUUGUGGUGAAUUAUGUGGUGAUAGUUUAAUCUUAUGGUGACUACAAAGGUAUCCAACAUCAAAGAUUGACCAUCUAAAGUGACUAUAUGUAUAUAUAUGGAUCGAUGUGGUAAAUGUUAAAAAUUAUUAUAGUGAUAUUUGGUGGUUUAUUACAUGAUGUUGAUGCUAGACUUGUAAAUGAGAUGUUUCAUUUAUCUUAGUUGAAUGUUGCAAUUUAUUUAUGCCCAAAUACCAUGAUGUAAAAAUAUGAGAAUAUUUUAAUGAAAAACAAUAAGAAAAAUGAUAAUGAAUUUAAAGGAUAUUAAUUAAGAAACUAAAAAUAAUAUUAUAACGGAAAAUUAGUUUUUAUAAUAAAACAUUUUUAUUUAUAUCCUUAGGAGGAGUUACGACACUCGUUAGAAUGGCAUAAAACAUUAUAAGAGAAGAACCUACAAGAGUUAAGCUCUCAAGAGUUUGAUCUUCCAGCACAUGUGAGAAACAUGGAUCCCAACAGCACUACACGUCAAACACCGAAGUUUGAAGAAAACGUCGUUACUCGUUAGCUUGUAGUAUUAUUUGUCUUUGAACCCUAAUUCCUAUGGCACAUUAAGAAUCGUUUUUUAGCUGUGAUGCACUUAACUUGUAUUUUUAAUUCUGCGUAACAUUAUUCAGAAGAGGUUCUCUACGGUUCACAAUCACAAACCAACUUCCGUAAUAAUAUGAGGGCUUCAACUUUUGAUAUUGUGUUUAUACUACUUUGUAUGCAUAUAUUUUUAAUGAAAUGAGAUUUUUUUGUCGGCUAUGAUAGUCUGCAGUUGUACAUCCAAAUCAACCUAAUUCUUAC
This 1981-nucleotide long non-coding RNA is filed under the name Glycine max (soybean). RNAcentral describes it as "long non-coding RNA (GMAX_LNC001193)". Lineage: Eukaryota; Viridiplantae; Streptophyta; Magnoliopsida; Fabales; Fabaceae. The record is from RNAcentral.